RNAcentral lists this ribosomal RNA (1530 nucleotides) under bovine gut metagenome. RNAcentral describes it as "Bacterial small subunit ribosomal RNA". It matches the Rfam family "Bacterial small subunit ribosomal RNA". The record is from RNAcentral.
UUGAGAGUUUGAUCCUGGCUCAGGACGAACGCUGGCGGCAUGCCUAACACAUGCAAGUCGAACGGAAUAGGAUUGGUUGUAGCGAUACUUUCGAUCCUAUUUAGUGGCGAACGGGUGAGUAACACGUGAGCAACCUGCCUUUUACACAGGGAUAACAGCCGGAAACGGCUGCUAAUACCGGAUAAGACCACACCGAGGCAUCUCGGAGGGGUCAAAGCGAUUUAGCGGUAAAAGAUGGGCUCGCGUCCCAUUAGCUAGUUGGUGAGAUAACAGCCCACCAAGGCGACGAUGGGUAGCCGACUUGAGAGAGUGAUCGGCCACAUUGGAACUGAGACACGGUCCAGACUCCUUCGGGAGGCAGCAGUGGGGAAUAUUGGGCAAUGGAGGAAACUCUUACCCAGCAAUGCCGCGUGAAUGAAGAAGGCCUUCGGGUUGUAAAGUUCUUUUAUUGAUGAUAAAGAAAGUGAUAUUAGUCAAUGAAUAAGCCCCGGCUAACUAUGUGCCAGCAGCCGCGGUAAUACAUAGGGGGCGAGCGUUGUCCGGAAUGACUGGGCGUAAAGGGUGUGUAGGCGGUUAUGCAAGUUAAAAGUGAAAUCCCCGGGCUUAACUCGGGUGCUGCUUUUAAGACUGUAUGACUUGAGUGCAGUAGAGAAAAGUGGAAUUCCUAGUGUAGCGGUGGAAUGCGUAGAUAUUAGGAGGAACACCAGAGGCGAAGGCGACUUUUUGGACUGUAACUGACGCUGAGGCACGAAAGUGUGGGGAGCAAACAGGAUUAGAUACCCUGGUAGUCCACACUGUAAACGAUGGAUACUAGGUGUAGGGGGUAUAGACUCCCUCUGCGCUGUCGCAAACGCAAUAAGUAUCCCGCCUGGGGAGUACGACCGCAAGGUUGAAACUCAAAGGAAUUGACGGGGACCCGCACAAGCAGCGGAGCAUGUGGUUUAAUUCGAAGCAACGCGAAAAACCUUACCAAGACUUGACAUCGUACGAAAUCCAUGGAAACAUGGCCCUUCGUAGCAAUACGAACGUAUAGACAGGUGGUGCAUGGUUGUCGUCAGCUCGUGUCGUGAGAUGUUGGGUUAAGUCCCGCAACGAGCGCAACCCUUAUAACCAGUUGCCAAUAUUAAGUUAGGAACUCUGGUUAGACUGCCGUGGAUAACACGGAGGAAGGUGGGGAUGACGUCAAAUCAUCAUGCCCCUUACGUCUUGGGCUACACACGUGCUACAAUGGCUACUACAAAGAGCAGCGAAACGGUAACGUCGAGCGAAUCUCAAAAAGGUAGUCUCAGUUCAGAUUGUGGGCUGCAACCCGCCCACAUGAAGUAGGAGUUGCUAGUAAUCCCGAAUCAGCAUGUCGGGGUGAAUGCGUUCCCGGGUCUUGUACACACCGCCCGUCACGCCAUGGGAGUUGGUAGUACCCAAAGUCGGUGCAGUAACCGCAAGGAGCGAGCCGCCUAAGGUAAGACCAGCGACUGGGGUGAAGUCGUAACAAGGUAGCCGUAUCGGAAGGUGCGGCUGGAUCACCUCCUU